UUUACAGGCUCUAACUGUGAAACAUCAGUAUAACAAGGCCUUUUAACAUAAAGUGUGUUUUUAUGUAUCGCUCUUAGCAUGUUUAAGGGAUUUUCCAAAGGGCUAGGCACAUUGUACAUUUUUACAGUUCUUGGUACUAGCAACACAUUAGCUACAAAAUUUACCAUUAGCAAUAACAAUGUUAGGUGAGAAAAGCUAAGCAGGAGGGAGUUAUGCCAACCGAACCAAAGUCAGGCUAAGAGAGGCUGCUGGGAAAGUCUCUGAAAGUAGAAUGAAGGAAUAUUUGUUUAAGUUACAGAGAGUGAGAAAAAAGGGGAGGCCUGCAUUCCUGCAUUUUUGUACCAGAUGUGCUGGGAACAGCCCUUGAGAUACAGAGGCUCUGUUUUCCACUCCCUGCUCUUGUGUUAUGCCUGUUUUAACUCCUCGUCUCCUGGUUGACACCCGUACCGAUAAGAAAGUUAGUGAAGCACUACGAUUUGCUAAAAGUUAUCUACAACAAGGGGGGUAGAUGUGCAUGCAUAUAGAGAAAGAGGAUUUUAACUAAUAUGGGGGGGUGGGCUGCUUUAUGAAUAAAUCUGUGACGUGACAGGACUGUCUAUAAAACCCUACGAGUUUUACUUAGAGGCUGCUGGUUCUCUUUGGAGUGUGCACUCUUCAAUAAAGAGCGUUGCGUUCGGACCUUGCUGGUGUUGCCAGUCUCUCUCCGGUCAGACAACGAACCGUGCCAUCUGGGGUUCGAGUCCUCGACAAUUUGGCAACUCCACCGGGACCCGUCUGACUCUCCGGCGAGGGAUCAGACUCUAAAGCAAGGCAGCGCGCAUCCUCCGGCUUCAAGGAGCCUUGCCAGUGAUCUAAUCCCUGCGUCGGCGAUAAGGCGUGUUCUGUGAACCAGCAGGAGCCCAUAGAAAUCCAGCAACAUCCACCUACCCGUUGAGUUGGCUCCAGAUCCAGGUCUUCGGGGUUUGAGUCCCUGGAGAGGGUCUUCGGGGUUCGAGUCCCUGGAGAGAAAAUUAGAAAAUACUGAUGCCAAGUAAAAAGCAAUUCAACAUCUCAUGAAUUUACUGGCACAAUAGGAAUUCUGUUCUGUUUUCUAUGUCCUGUCUUGUGGUGUUUGUCUUGUGGCCAGAAUUGCUGUGUUUAAUUUUUCAUAGGACAGUUUAGUUUAAAACUAAAUAGAAGGGUUAAAUCAAAAUGCAGAUACUUGUUUUAUUCAACUUGGAAUACAAAGUGUUUGGAUAAUAUCAGGAAAAUGUGAUAUACUGAAGUUUAAUACAUUUGCUUAAGUAAGAAAAAGAAAUUUAGUUGUCCAGAUCUUUUAAUUAAAAAAAAACUGUUGUUAAAAUGCGCACACCAACAGUCUUUGGAAGCAAAGAAAUGAAAGGUUAACCCACUGCCCAUAUUAUACAUGGGAUCCUUCUGGCUACCUCAAAUUUCUAGCCAGAGGGCUGGGGUGGGAGGAAAGCUAUUGGACACCAGAGGUUGUACCAAGUGGACUCCUCAAAAGUGGGUGUGCUUGUCCUGGCUUGUUGCUCCAAAGCUCCGUAAUAAAGUCAUUUUCCUAGAAGGGUGUAUGUGGCAUACAUUAAACAAUAAAACUAAAGUGCUGUAUAAUGGGCAAUGUACAUGUGUUCAUUUUUGAACAAAGGGGUGUCAGUGGAAAGUGAAAGUUUCCUUUACAGGUUAAUAGAAGCCAAGAAGGGGAGAAGAAAAGGAACGGAGGACGAGCUAAUUCAACGCUGUAGCUGGCAGGCUCGGUCCAAAGAUAAGACGCUGGCCUGCCCAAGGACACUACUCACAGCUAGGAUUUGGCUAACAGCCAAGAAAGAGGGGGGCUUGAAUGUGCCCAAGCAGCUGUGAGAUCUGUAAAAUACUGCCAGACAUUAAUGAAAUGUGUUAGGUCUCUGUAUUUACAGGUGAAAGAAGUCCUGCUCCAAGGAUCCUGAGCAAACCUGCCAUUUGUUAAAACCAGGUGACUGGGUCUACAUAAAGGUCCAUCAACAAAAGACUACUCUGGCCCCAUGCUGGAAAGGUCCUUAUUAAGUCCUGCUAACUACCAACGCCGCUGUGAAGUGCCAGGGACUGACUGCCUAGACCCAUACUUCUUACUGCAAAAAGACCCCUCCACCUCAAGAUGACUUCACUUCAACUACUGAUCAGCCUGUCCCUCCUUCUG
Chelonia mydas (Green sea turtle) is the source of this 2173-nucleotide long non-coding RNA. RefSeq lists it as uncharacterized. Lineage: Eukaryota; Metazoa; Chordata; Testudines; Cheloniidae. The transcript has 2 exons. The record is from RefSeq and is a predicted model, not a curated record.